UCUGACGUAGAAGCGAGAGCUGCC
Molecule: non-coding RNA, 24 nt
Filed under: Arabidopsis thaliana (thale cress)
Lineage: Eukaryota; Viridiplantae; Streptophyta; Magnoliopsida; Brassicales; Brassicaceae
Source: RNAcentral